AUUGAACGCUGGCGGCAUGCUUUACACAUGCAAGUCGAACGGCAGCGCGGGCUUCGGCCUGGCGGCGAGUGGCGAACGGGUGAGUAAUGCAUCGGAACGUGCCCAGUAGUGGGGGAUAGCCCGGCGAAAGCCGGAUUAAUACCGCAUACGACCUGAGGGUGAAAGCGGGGGACCGAAAGGCCUCGCGCUAUUGGAGCGGCCGAUGUCGGAUUAGCUAGUUGGUGGGGUAAAGGCUUACCAAGGCGACGAUCCGUAGCUGGUCUGAGAGGACGACCAGCCACACUGGAACUGAGACACGGCCCAGACUCCUACGGGAGGCAGCAGUGGGGAAUUUUGGACAAUGGGGGCAACCCUGAUCCAGCCAUGCCGCGUGCGGGAAGAAGGCCUUCGGGUUGUAAAGCGCUUUUGUUCGGGAAGAAAUCCUCUGGGCUAAUACCCCGGGGGGAUGACGGUACCGGAAGAAUAAGCACCGGCUAACUACGUG
This 484-nucleotide ribosomal RNA is filed under the name uncultured bacterium. Its description in RNAcentral is "partial 16S ribosomal RNA". It matches the Rfam family "Bacterial small subunit ribosomal RNA", at positions 29 to 507 of the family's 1533-position model. The record is from RNAcentral.